RNAcentral lists this ribosomal RNA (105 nucleotides) under Lachnospiraceae bacterium OF09-6. Its description in RNAcentral is "partial 16S ribosomal RNA". It matches the Rfam family "Bacterial small subunit ribosomal RNA", at positions 1436 to 1533 of the family's 1533-position model. Lineage: Bacteria; Bacillati; Bacillota; Clostridia; Lachnospirales; Lachnospiraceae. The record is from RNAcentral.
CAACCGAAAGGAGGGAGCUGCCGAAGGCGGGAUUGGUAACUGGGGUGAAGUCGUAACAAGGUAGCCGUAUCGGAAGGUGCGGCUGGAUCACCUCCUUUCUAAGGA